GAUGAAGAACGCAGCGAAAUGCGAUAAGUAAUGUGAAUUGCAGAAUUCAGUGAAUCAUCGAAUCUUUGAACGCACCUUGCACUCCUUGGUAUUCCGAGGAGUACGCCUGUUCGAGUGUUAUGAAGCUCUCAAAACGCAAUUGGCUUAAAACCUGAUUGUUGUUUUGGAUUUGAACUUUGCCGUGUUAUAACGGCUGGUUUUAAAAGUAUUAGCUGGUACUAGAACGAAUUGGUUCUACUCAACGUGAUAAUUAUCUGAUCGUUAAGGACAUUCCUUUCACGAGGAAUGGCCAUAGUAAAUUCAAUGGACUGCUUCUAAUCUGGCUUUAAUUCUUUAUUGGAUUAACCACUUUUCAAAUCUGACCUCGAAUCAGGUGGGACUACCCGCUGAACUUAAGCAUAUCAAUAAGCGGAGGA
This 416-nucleotide unclassified non-coding RNA is filed under the name soil metagenome. RNAcentral's name for it is "partial contains 5.8S ribosomal RNA, internal transcribed spacer 2, and large subunit ribosomal RNA". The stretch from base 1 to 120 matches the Rfam family "5.8S ribosomal RNA", at positions 35 to 154 of the family's 154-position model. The record is from RNAcentral.